This is a non-coding RNA of Parelaphostrongylus tenuis, 69 nucleotides long. NCBI's taxonomy places the organism in Eukaryota, Metazoa, Nematoda, Chromadorea, Rhabditida, Metastrongylidae. The record is from the annotation of a GenBank genome assembly.
GGUAGUGCAACGGUUAAAGCACGCGCUCCCGAAUAGAGUGAGAUGUGGUUUCGAGUCCUACCUGAAACA